AAACAGUCAAAAGAACUAACAGGAUUCCCCUAGUAACUGCGAGUGAAGCGGGAAAAGCUCAAAUUUAAAAUCUGGCAGCCUCUGGCUGUCCGAGUUGUAAUCUAGAGAAGUAAUGCCCGUGCUGGACCGUGUAUAAGUCUCCUGGGAUGGGGCGUCAUAGAGGGUGAGAAUCCCGUCUUUGACACGGACUGCCAGUGCAUUGUGGUAUGCUCUCAAAGAGUCGAGUUGUUUGGGAAUGCAGCUCAGAAUGGGUGGUAAAUUCCAUCUAAAGCUAAAUAUUGGCGAGAGACCGAUAGCGAACAAGUACCGUGAGGGAAAGAUGAAAAGAACUUUGGAAAGAGAGUUAAACAGUACGUGAAAUUGCUGAAAGGGAAACGCUUGAAGUCAGUCACGUUGGCCAGGGAUCAGCCUUGCUUUUGCAUGGUGUACUUUCUGGUUGACGGGUCAGCAUCAAUUUUGACUGCUGGAAAAGGGCCUGGGGAAUGUGGCAGCUUAGGCUGUGUUAUAGCCCCUGGUCGCAUGCAGUGGUUGGGAUUGAGGAACUCAGCACGCCGCAAGGCCGGGUUUCGACCACGUUCGUGCUUAGGAUGCUGGCAUAAUGGCUUUAAGCGACCCGUCUUGAAACACGGACCAAGGAGUCUAACAUGCCUGCGAGUAUUUGGGUGGAAAACCCGAGUGCGCAAUGAAAGUGAAAGUUGAGAUCCCUGUCGUGGGGAGCAUCGACGCCCGGACCAGAACUUUUGGGACGGAUCCGCGGUGGAGCAUGUAUGUUGGGACCCGAAAGAUGGUGAACUAUGCCUGAAUAGGGUGAAGCCAGAGGAAACUCUGGUGGAGGCUCGUAGCGAUUCUGACGUGCAAAUCGAUCGUCAAAUUUGGGUAUAGGGGCCCAAAAAAAAAAUCCAAACCAUCUAGUAGCUGGUCCUGCAUAAUUCCCCCCCAAAAAAAAAAAAAAAUAAAAACCGCCAUACAGGGUGUGUAAGAAACCCCCCCCCCCCCCCCCCCCCGUGCGAAAUAUUUUUGCGGUACAAAAUCCUCCCACCCCCCCAAAAAUUUCCCCUGGCCUCCCCUAAUGCAGGCAUAGAUUCCAUCUUGGCGGUCAACAAACUGCCCCCCGGGAACCCUCCAAAAGUUUUGGGCCGGGCUUCAUUCUCCCGGACGGGGAAUUUACUUUUAUUUUCGGGGCCAAUGGGUUUUUCCCCAAAACCCCCGGGGAGUUUAAAAACCCGGGGGUUGUUUUUUGGAAAGGGGUUUUAAAAUCUUUUCCCCCCCCCCAAAAAGAAAAGGGACAAAGACGCCUGGGGGCGGGGUGUUUAUUCUCCCCCCACCGCCGCGCGGGGGGAUAAAAAAAAAAAAACACCCCCCCCCCCCCUCUUCUCCUAUAAUUAGAUAUUCCCCCCCCCCACAAAAA
RNAcentral lists this ribosomal RNA (1408 nucleotides) under Agaricus arabiensis. RNAcentral's name for it is "Agaricus sp. SH-2022a partial large subunit ribosomal RNA". It matches the Rfam family "Eukaryotic large subunit ribosomal RNA", at positions 48 to 1113 of the family's 3401-position model. The record is from RNAcentral. Lineage: Eukaryota; Fungi; Basidiomycota; Agaricomycetes; Agaricales; Agaricaceae.